Molecule: ribosomal RNA, 433 nt
Filed under: uncultured bacterium
Lineage: Bacteria
Description: partial 16S ribosomal RNA
Rfam family: Bacterial small subunit ribosomal RNA
Source: RNAcentral
GUGAACGCUAGCGGUGCGCCUAACACAUGCAAGUCGCGCGAGGCUUCGAGCCGAGCGGCGAACGGCUGCGUAACACGUUGGUAUCUACCCAGUACUCAGGGAUAACCUGCCGAAAGGCGGGCUAAUACCGGAUGGUCCCGUGAGGGUAAAGCUACGGCGGUACUGGAGGAGCCUGCGGCCUAUCAGAUAGUUGGUGGGGUAACGGCCUACCAAGUCGAUGACGGGUAGCUGGUCUGAGAGGACGACCAGCCAGAAUGGAACUGCGACACGGUCCAUACUCCUACGGGAGGCAGCAGUGAGGAAUCUUCCACAAUGGGCGAAAGCCUGAUGGAGCGACACCGCGUGAAGGAUGACACCCUUUUGGGCGUAAACUUCUGUUCUGAGGGACGAAAUUUUUGACGGUACCUCAGGAGAAAGCACCGGCUAAUUCUGU